This 321-nucleotide ribosomal RNA is filed under the name uncultured bacterium. RNAcentral describes it as "bacterial SSU rRNA". It matches the Rfam family "Bacterial small subunit ribosomal RNA", at positions 18 to 344 of the family's 1533-position model. The record is from RNAcentral.
CAUGGCUCAGGAUGAACGCUAGCGGCAGGCCUAACACAUGCAAGUCGAGGGAUAAGCCCUUCGGGGUGGAAACCGGCGCACGGGUGCGUAACGCGUAUGCAACCUACCUUUCACAGGGGGAUAGCCCGAAGAAAUUUGGAUUAAUACCCCAUAAUAUUGUUGGAUGGCAUCAUCUGAUAAUUAAAGUUACGAUGGUGAAAGAUGGGCAUGCGUCCUAUUAGCUAGUUGGAGUGGUAACGGCACCCCAAGGCUACGAUAGGUAGGGGUCCUGAGAGGGAGAUCCCCCACACUGGUACUGAGACAGGGACCAGACUCCUACGG